UUCGACACACUAUCAUUAACUGAAUCCAUAGGUUAAUGAGGCGAACCGGGGGAACUGAAACAUCUAAGUACCCCGAGGAAAAGAAAUCAACCGAGAUUCCCCCAGUAGCGGCGAGCGAACGGGGAGGAGCCCAGAGCCUGAAUCAGUGUGUGUGUUAGUGGAAGCGUCUGGAAAGGCGCGCGAUACAGGGUGACAGCCCCGUACACAAAAAUGCACAUAUUGUGAGCUCGAUGAGUAGGGCGGGACACGUGGUAUCCUGUCUGAAUAUGGGGGGACCAUCCUCCAAGGCUAAAUACUCCUGACUGACCGAUAGUGAACCAGUACCGUGAGGGAAAGGCGAAAAGAACCCCGGCGAGGGGAGUGAAAAAGAACCUGAAACCGUGUACGUACAAGCAGUGGGAGCCUCUUAAUGGGGUGACUGCGUACCUUUUGUAUAAUGGGUCAGCGACUUAUAUUCUGUAGCAAGGUUAACCGAAUAGGGGAGCCGAAGGGAAACCGAGUCUUAACUGGGCGUUAAGUUGCAGGGUAUAGACCCGAAACCCGGUGAUCUAGCCAUGGGCAGGUUGAAGGUUGGGUAACACUAACUGGAGGACCGAACCGACUAAUGUUGAAAAAUUAGCGGAUGACUUGUGGCUGGGGGUGAAAGGCCAAUCAAACCGGGAGAUAGCUGGUUCUCCCCGAAAGCUAUUUAGGUAGCGCCUCGUGAAUUCAUCUCCGGGGGUAGAGCACUGUUUCGGCAAGGGGGUCAUCCCGACUUACCAACCCGAUGCAAACUGCGAAUACCGGAGAAUGUUAUCACGGGAGACACACGGCGGGUGCUAACGUCCGUCGUGAAGAGGGAAACAACCCAGACCGCCAGCUAAGGUCCCAAAGUCAUGGUUAAGUGGGAAACGAUGUGGGAAGGCCCAGACAGCCAGGAUGUUGGCUUAGAAGCAGCCAUCAUUUAAAGAAAGCGUAAUAGCUCACUGGUCGAGUCGGCCUGCGCGGAAGAUGUAACGGGGCUAAACCAUGCACCGAAGCUGCGGCAGCGACACUAUGUGUUGUUGGGUAGGGGAGCGUUCUGUAAGCCUGUGAAGGUGGCCUGUGAGGGUUGCUGGAGGUAUCAGAAGUGCGAAUGCUGACAUAAGUAACGAUAAAGCGGGUGAAAAGCCCGCUCGCCGGAAGACCAAGGGUUCCUGUCCAACGUUAAUCGGGGCAGGGUGAGUCGACCCCUAAGGCGAGGCCGAAAGGCGUAGUCGAUGGGAAACAGGUUAAUAUUCCUGUACUUGGUGUUACUGCGAAGGGGGGACGGAGAAGGCUAUGUUGGCCGGGCGACGGUUGUCCCGGUUUAAGCGUGUAGGCUGGUUUUCCAGGCAAAUCCGGAAAAUCAAGGCUGAGGCGUGAUGACGAGGCACUACGGUGCUGAAGCGACAAAUGCCCUGCUUCCAGGAAAAGCCUCUAAGCAUCAGGUAACAUCAAAUCGUACCCCAAACCGACACAGGUGGUCAGGUAGAGAAUACCAAGGCGCUUGAGAGAACUCGGGUGAAGGAACUAGGCAAAAUGGUGCCGUAACUUCGGGAGAAGGCACGCUGAUAUGUAGGUGAAGCGACUUGCUCGUGGAGCUGAAAUCAGUCGAAGAUACCAGCUGGCUGCAACUGUUUAUUAAAAACACAGCACUGUGCAAACACGAAAGUGGACGUAUACGGUGUGACGCCUGCCCGGUGCCGGAAGGUUAAUUGAUGGGGUUAGCGGUAACGCGAAGCUCUUGAUCGAAGCCCCGGUAAACGGCGGCCGUAACUAUAACGGUCCUAAGGUAGCGAAAUUCCUUGUCGGGUAAGUUCCGACCUGCACGAAUGGCGUAAUGAUGGCCAGGCUGUCUCCACCCGAGACUCAGUGAAAUUGAACUCGCUGUGAAGAUGCAGUGUACCCGCGGCAAGACGGAAAGACCCCGUGAACCUUUACUAUAGCUUGACACUGAACAUUGAGCCUUGAUGUGUAGGAUAGGUGGGAGGCUUUGAAGUGUGGACGCCAGUCUGCAUGGAGCCGACCUUGAAAUACCACCCUUUAAUGUUUGAUGUUCUAACGUGGGCCCCUUACCGGGGUUGCGGACAGUGUCUGGUGGGUAGUUUGACUGGGGCGGUCUCCUCCUAAAGAGUAACGGAGGAGCACGAAGGUUGGCUAAUCCUGGUCGGACAUCAGGAGGUUAGUGCAAUGGCAUAAGCCAGCUUGACUGCGAGCGUGACGGCGCGAGCAGGUGCGAAAGCAGGUCAUAGUGAUCCGGUGGUUCUGAAUGGAAGGGCCAUCGCUCAACGGAUAAAAGGUACUCCGGGGAUAACAGGCUGAUACCGCCCAAGAGUUCAUAUCGACGGCGGUGUUUGGCACCUCGAUGUCGGCUCAUCACAUCCUGGGGCUGAAGUAGGUCCCAAGGGUAUGGCUGUUCGCCAUUUAAAGUGGUACGCGAGCUGGGUUUAGAACGUCGUGAGACAGUUCGGUCCCUAUCUGCCGUGGGCGCUGGAGAACUGAGGGGGGCUGCUCCUAGUACGAGAGGACCGGAGUGGACGCAUCACUGGUGUUCGGGUUGUCAUGCCAAUGGCACUGCCCGGUAGCUAAAUGCGGAAGAGAUAAGUGCUGAAAGCAUCUAAGCACGAAACUUGCCCCGAGAUGAGUUCUCCCUGACUCCUUGAGAGUCCUGAAGGAACGUUG
This 2682-nucleotide ribosomal RNA is filed under the name Escherichia coli. Its description in RNAcentral is "partial 23S ribosomal RNA". It matches the Rfam family "Bacterial large subunit ribosomal RNA". Lineage: Bacteria; Pseudomonadati; Pseudomonadota; Gammaproteobacteria; Enterobacterales; Enterobacteriaceae. The record is from RNAcentral.